GAAAUAAAUUUCUAUUGUUGCAUAGCACUGUAGGGUAAAUAUGUUCAAAAAUAAUUGAAUGUAUAUUUUCAAAAAGCUAGAAGAGAAGAUUUUGAAUGUUCAUAACACAAAGAAAUGAUAGAUAUUUAGAGUGAUGGAUGACACUGACUUGGUCAUUACACACGGUAUACAUGUAUCAA
Molecule: long non-coding RNA, 179 nt
Organism: Sapajus apella (tufted capuchin)
Lineage: Eukaryota; Metazoa; Chordata; Mammalia; Primates; Cebidae
Exons: 3
Source: RefSeq, a predicted model, not a curated record